AAAAUUUUAGUUUAAAUUUUAAAAUUUUUCAAUUACGGUGAAAAGAUUAAUAUUACUUAAAAUUUUA
This 67-nucleotide transfer RNA is filed under the name Coelioxys fenestratus. Its description in RNAcentral is "Coelioxys fenestrata tRNA-Val". Lineage: Eukaryota; Metazoa; Arthropoda; Insecta; Hymenoptera; Megachilidae. The record is from RNAcentral.